This 76-nucleotide transfer RNA is filed under the name uncultured Chloroflexota bacterium. Its description in RNAcentral is "uncultured Chloroflexi bacterium tRNA-Met-CAT". It matches the Rfam family "tRNA". From Rfam's summary of the family: Transfer RNA (tRNA) molecules are approximately 80 nucleotides in length. Their secondary structure includes four short double-helical elements and three loops (D, anti-codon, and T loops). The record is from RNAcentral. Lineage: Bacteria; Bacillati; Chloroflexota.
UGCGGAGUGGCGCAGCGGCAAGCGCAGCUGGCCCAUACCCAGCAGGUCGCCGGUUCGAAUCCGGCCUCCGCAACCG